This 353-nucleotide long non-coding RNA is filed under the name Dasypus novemcinctus (nine-banded armadillo). Its description in RNAcentral is "lncRNA (ENSDNOG00000052722.1)". Lineage: Eukaryota; Metazoa; Chordata; Mammalia; Cingulata; Dasypodidae. The record is from RNAcentral.
GGGCGGGACGCUCGAAGGUCCAGCUAGGGCCAGGAGAGAGGUGGGCGGGGACGGAAAGUGGGCGGGAGUCGGGAUCCGCGGGGCCUGCGGGCUGGCCCGUCCGACUCCCGCCGCCACUGACUGUCGACGGUGUCCAGGCUCGCGGGCCCGAGAAGUGUUCCUCUGAAAGUUUGCCUAUUAUCUCCUAUCAGUCUACUUCAGGAGUGGAAUAUAAAGAGGGUGAGCCAACCUUACCACUAUCUGGAAAACAGUGGUUUGCAAGGCAGUUUUCUAACCUGACAUUUGGGUAAAGUCUUUGUUUUAUUUUUGGCUUCACUGCUUUUCUAGUGAGGAUUAUAUUAGGAAUAACUUUC